CGAGCGGCGAACGGGUGAGUAACACGUGAGUAAUCUGCCCUUCACUUGGGGAUAACCUCCGGAAACGGUGGCUAAUACCCGAUACGACCAUUCCAGGCAUCUGGUGGUGGUGGAAAGUUUUUUCGGUGGGGGAUGUGCUCGCGGCCUAUCAGCUUGUUGGUGGGGUAAUGGCCUACCAAGGCUUCGACGGGUAGCCGGCCUGAGAGGGUGACCGGCCACACUGGGACUGAGACACGGCCCAGACUCCUACGGGAGGCAGCAGUGGGGAAUAUUGGACAAUGGGCGGAAGCCUGAUCCAGCAACGCCGCGUGAGGGAUGACGGCCUUCGGGUUGUAAACCUCUUUCACCGAUGACGAAGCGCAAGUGACGGUAGUCGGAGAAGAAGCACCGGCCAACUACGUGCCAGCAGCCGCGGUAAUACGUAGGGUGCGAGCGUUGUCCGGAAUUAUUGGGCGUAAAGGGCUCGUAGGCGGUUUGUCGCGUCGGGAGUGAAAACACGGGGCUUAACUCCGUGCUUGCUUUCGAUACGGGCAGACUAGAGGUAUGCAGGGGAGAACGGAAUUCCUGGUGUAGCGGUGAAAUGCGCAGAUAUCAGGAGGACACCGGUGGCGAAGCGGUUCUCUGGGCAU
This 629-nucleotide ribosomal RNA is filed under the name uncultured Actinomycetes bacterium. RNAcentral's name for it is "bacterial SSU rRNA". It matches the Rfam family "Bacterial small subunit ribosomal RNA", at positions 92 to 736 of the family's 1533-position model. Lineage: Bacteria; Bacillati; Actinomycetota; Actinomycetes. The record is from RNAcentral.